Long non-coding RNA from Temnothorax curvispinosus, 2067 nucleotides. RefSeq lists it as uncharacterized. The record is from RefSeq and is a predicted model, not a curated record. The transcript is spliced from 3 exons. Lineage: Eukaryota; Metazoa; Arthropoda; Insecta; Hymenoptera; Formicidae.
UGUGUGCGACCACGCGCACGUCGUUUGACCCUACGUCGCGGUCUCGUGGAUUUUCAGGGUCACGCAACACGGUAGCGUAACAAAGGAUGAGAUGUGUUGCCGAUCCUUUAGUCGUUAUUAAUACUAAACGAGGAUAGCGCGGUAGACCAUGGCCGCGAGACCCUCACAGAAUUUUUCAGGUGAUUCUUCCAUUAGCGUAAGUCAUUAUGCACGUUUAUAAGGCUAAGUCGAUUGAGUAAAGCAAUAACACUGACCUAAAUCUUGCAAUUUCUAAAAAUAUUGCAUUUUAAUAUAGUUUUAACUCUAAUUUUUCGUUUCAAAUCUAGUUCGUUCAAGAUUUACGUGUAUAAAUGUUUCUUUGGGAUACUUUAAACGCGCAAACGAAAUUACGUAAUGCGUAAUAUAUGUAUUUUAUGAAAAGCGAUCUGGUUACAAGAUAUUGAAAAAUUAUCUGCGAACAGAUUUCAGAUUUACAUGACAUGUAGUAGAAGGCCACACGCUAUAUUAUAGUGCCAACAAAAAUGACGAGAAAUUAGACUAAAAUAUUUCGGUAUACGAGGAGUUCACAACGAAUUGAACAGAGACAAAUAUACACAUUAUUGACUUAUUGCCAAGCGCGAGUUCAGUAAAACCGGAAACUCAUAUCAGCGAUACGAAGUCGAGUUUGGGUUGGAAUAGACCCGGAAACGGCCGAUAAAAGACAGGGCACGCAUGCUUCUAUCCUUGACUCGUCUUAUCGCAAGGCCAGCUUUCGGAAACACGCCUAGUGGAAGAGGUCAAUGUGGCAUGUCGCAACAUUUCGUCAUACGGGGGGGAUUAUGAUAUAUUUACAAGAUUACUGUCCCAAUCGGAAAAAACCGCAAGCUAUAUUCCAAAAUAUUUUUGUUUUUGCAGUUCUGGCGCAACCCCGCGCGAGAAAUUGCAAUCUCACCUCGGCUGGCAAUGCCAGCCAACGACCUUGGCCUUGCCCGAAUAAGACGCGGCCUUGGCGGCCGAUCGAUGCGACUAUCAGCCGGUGCAAGUGCAGCGAGAGGGGAACUGGAUCUGAACUGGUUCUCACGUAUUCCCGGUUUAGAUCACAUCGCGUGCAUCAAUUACGACGAUCAGUCCAGUUCAGUCGCGCUUGAAAACUGUGUCACGCGUCAUUGUCGUCUUUUGAGCUUUGAUCCUUGGAUUCUUCACGUAAAUCGCGCGCGCAAUAUAACUUCACUUAUAAUCGCGCUUGUAGCAUAUUGCGCAGCUUGGCGACGCUACGAUAUUCCCGCGCAGCGAAUUCCGUUUCAAUCACCAGACGGAAAAUCCUUUUUAAAUUCAAGAUGUUUACAUACUUCUUGGAACAUUACUCCUUAUCGAUACGAUAAUAAAGAAACACAAACAUAUUAUCGAUGAUAUGGGAUAAUGCAGAUACAAAUUACAUAUAAUUACAGUAUCAGAAAGUGAAGGACAGGAUUGUUUCAAAGACGGCUUUUAAUGUCGAUCUUCUAAUCCGAAAUCUUCAAAACGUCACGGCGACAAGCUAGUAUAAUAUUAUGUAGAACUUGGCAUUUCGUUUGUGAUUUAAACCGCUGCUUCGACGGAAAUGUGAGAAAAGUGCGGGAAUCGGUAUAUGAUCUCGAAAAGAUCCACACCGACGCGGGCAUGCGCACCCUCGACCUUGGCACGAGGAAAUAACGCCUCUCCACGGCGCUGUCGAAAGAUUGCAUAAUGUUACGCGAGACGCGAGACACGGCGGCAUAAUUCCGUUUUCCCUCUCUUUUCUUUUUCUUCCGCAUUCGCACUCGUUGCGCAUCUUUUGCGCAGACAAGGAGAUCGUCUCGCGCCGCCUGACAAACACGCGCACCAAUUUUUCUUUUCAGUCCGACAGAAGCGAAUAAUCUCGUUGCGAUGAAUUAAAGAAGCGUACCAUCUUUUGUCGCUGCGGAAAUAUCGAUUUCGAGGAAUGAAUGAAUGAAUUUCAGUUUUUAUCAAUUCGUAUAAUUGUUUCUUGCGUUGUUAAUGAUUUUGUGGCAAUAUGUAAGGAAUUGUGUGCAAUGUAAAGAUCUCUUUUCUUCUCUUUCUCCCUCUCUU